This 587-nucleotide ribosomal RNA is filed under the name uncultured bacterium. RNAcentral's name for it is "bacterial SSU rRNA". It matches the Rfam family "Bacterial small subunit ribosomal RNA", at positions 338 to 916 of the family's 1533-position model. The record is from RNAcentral.
CCUACGGGAGGCAGCAGUAGGGAAUCUUCCGCAAUGGACGAAAGUCUGACGGAGCAACGCCGCGUGAACGAUGAAGGCCUUCGGGUCGUAAAGUUCUGUUGUUAGGGAAGAACAAGUGCUAGUUAAAUAAGCUGGCACCUUGACGGUACCUAACCAGAAAGCCACGGCUAACUACGUGCCAGCAGUCGCGGUAAUACGUAGGUGGCAAGCGUUGUCCGGAAUUAUUGGGCGUAAAGCGCGCGCAGGCGGUUUCUUAAGUCUGAUGUGAAAGCCCCCGGCUCAACCGGGGAGGGUCAUUGGAAACUGGGAAACUUGAGUGCAGAAGAGGAAAGUGGAAUUCCAAGUGUAGCGGUGAAAUGCGUAGAGAUUUGGAGGAACACCAGUGGCGAAGGCGACUUUCUGGUCUGUAACUGACGCUGAGGCGCGAAAGCGUGGGGAGCAAACAGGAUUAGAUACCCUGGUAGUCCACGCUGUAAACGAUGAGUGCUAAGUGUUAGAGGGUUUCCGCCCUUUAGUGCUGAAGUUAACGCAUUAAGCACUCCGCCUGGGGAGUACGGUCGCAAGACUGAAACUCAAAGGAUUGACGG